UCCGAUGUGGUGUAUCGGUAACAUAUCCGCCUCUCAUGAGUCUGUGCUCCAGGCUAACAUGACGCGGUUGCGCGGGGUUCGAUUCCCCGCAUCGGAA
Roridomyces roridus is the source of this 97-nucleotide non-coding RNA. The record is from the annotation of a GenBank genome assembly. NCBI's taxonomy places the organism in Eukaryota, Fungi, Basidiomycota, Agaricomycetes, Agaricales, Mycenaceae.